Molecule: ribosomal RNA, 320 nt
Filed under: uncultured eukaryote
Lineage: Eukaryota
Description: partial 18S ribosomal RNA
Rfam family: Eukaryotic small subunit ribosomal RNA
Source: RNAcentral
CCCCUAGAUGUUCUGGGCCGCACGCGCGCUACACUGAACAGUUCAACAAGUCUUAACCUUGGCCGAUAGGUCUGGGUAAUCUUUGAACGCUGUUCGUGAUUGGGAUAGACCUUUGCAAUUAUGGGUCUUCAACGAGGAAUUCCUAGUAAACGCAAGUCAUCAGCUUGCAUUGAUUACGUCCCUGCCCUUUGUACACACCGCCCGUCGCACCUACCGAUUGAAUGGUCCGGUGAAAUCUCGGGACGGCGGCUUGGUCGCUCGCGUCCGACUGCUGAAACUUGAUUAAACCAUAUCAUUUAGAGGAAGGUGAAGUCGUAACA